ACCGGCGGCUCGAGUGGUAACCGUUAUUAUUGGGUCUAAAGGGUCAGUAGCCGGCCUGAUAAGUCUCUGGAGAAAUCCGGCAGCUUAACUGUCAGACUUGCUGGAGAUACUAUCAGACUUGAGGCCGGAAGAGGUUAGGGGUACUUCCGGGGUAAGGGUGAAAUCUGAUAAUCCCGGGAGGACCACCUGUGGCGAAGGCGCCUAACUGGAACGAACCUGACGGUGAGUAUCGAAGGCCAGGGGCGCGAACCG
Molecule: ribosomal RNA, 252 nt
Filed under: uncultured prokaryote
Description: partial 16S rRNA
Rfam family: Archaeal small subunit ribosomal RNA
Source: RNAcentral